Molecule: non-coding RNA, 107 nt
Organism: Gossypium hirsutum (cotton)
Lineage: Eukaryota; Viridiplantae; Streptophyta; Magnoliopsida; Malvales; Malvaceae
Source: Rfam
AGACCAUGGUUAGGGUAUCUUUGAACCAACAUCUUAAACCGUUCCCAAACUUCAUGAAAACUUUCUCCUUCUAGUUGUUUAAAUGUUGCAAUCUCCCUCCUGAGUUG